RNAcentral lists this ribosomal RNA (968 nucleotides) under uncultured bacterium. RNAcentral's name for it is "bacterial SSU rRNA". It matches the Rfam family "Bacterial small subunit ribosomal RNA", at positions 186 to 1174 of the family's 1533-position model. The record is from RNAcentral.
CGGCAUCNCCGAGCUGGGAAAAAAUCUUGAUGAAAGAUGGUCUCGCGNNNAUCAGCUAGUUGGUGAGGUAAAGGCUCNCCAAGGCGACGACGGGUAGCCGGCCUGAGAGGGCGACCGGCCACACUGGGACUGAGACACGGCCCAGACUCCUACGGGAGGCAGCAGUAGGGAAUAUUGGGCAAUGGGCGAAAGCNUGACCCAGCGACGCCGCGUGAGGGAUGAAGGUCUUCGGAUUGUAAACCUCUUUCAGUAGGGAAGAAGCGAAAGUGACGGUACCUAAAGAAGAAGCACCGGCUAACUAUGUGCCAGCAGCCGCGGUAAUACAUAGGGUGCAAGCGUUGUCCGGAAUUAUUGGGCGUAAAGAGCUCGUAGGUCGUUUGUCGCGUCGAUUGUGAAAAUCUGAGGCUCAACCUCAGACCUGCAGUCGAUACGGGCAAACUAGAGUGUGGUAGGGGAGACUGGAAUUCCUGGUGUAGCGGUGGAAUGCGCAGAUAUCAGGAGGAACACCAAUGGCGAAGGCAGGUCUCUGGGCCAUGACUGACACUGAGGAGCGAAAGUGCGGGGAGCGAACAGGAUUAGAUACCCUGGUAGUCCGCACCGUAAACGGUGGGCACUAGUUGUGGGAACCUUCCACGGUUUCCGCGACGCAGCAAACGCAUUAAGUGCCCCGCCUGGGGAGUACGAUCGCAAGAUUAAAACUCAAAGGAAUUGACGGGGCCCCGCACAAGCAGCGGAGCAUGCGGCUUAAUUCGACGCAACGCGAAGAACCUUACCAAGGCUUGACAUAUAGCGAAAAGUGGCAGAGAUGUCAUGUCCGCAAGGGCGCUAUACAGGUGGUGCAUGGUUGUCGUCAGCUCGUGUCGUGAGAUGUUGGGUUAAGUCCCGCAACGAGCGCAACCCUCGUUCUGUGUUACCAGCAUUAAGUUGGGGACUCACAGGAGACUGCCGGGGUCAACUCGGAGGAAGGU